AUGCGAACGUGUCAAGGAGAGGUCAAGCAUAGGAGGAUAACGGGUCAAGAUAAGGCAAGGUGACAAAUACACUUAUUGGAGUACUCGAGGUAUGGGAUCGUUGGCUUCAUGAAGAAAUGGAGCUGGAUUUGGAUAAGAGUAUUUAAGAAAGCGCUUGGACAAUUCCACGACUACUUUAUAGAAUGCUCUACGAAAUUUUAUUAU
This 204-nucleotide long non-coding RNA is filed under the name Helianthus annuus (common sunflower). RNAcentral's name for it is "sRNA HanXRQr2_Chr03g0092751". The record is from RNAcentral. Lineage: Eukaryota; Viridiplantae; Streptophyta; Magnoliopsida; Asterales; Asteraceae.